UCGGUACCCACGCUAUGUAAGACUUUGUAUGUGACAAAUUUUAUAUCCAGCCCUACUGGAAUACAACUGGAUCUAUGAAAUGUAAUUACAAAUAAAUCCCAUAGGCACCACAGCAACCACAGCUACAGCCUUGUCAUCGGGGUCAUCGGGGUCAUCAGUGUGCGCCGAAGCGCCGAAUACCGUCAAAAACGUCAAAAACUUUUCUCAAAAUUUGAACGGUGACGUCGGUCGAAUGUUGGUAAUAAGUGGCUAUAUGAGGGAAUUUAAUCAUCCAUGUGCGCAACUGUGGCGACGCCGAAUGGAAACUACGUAACUACGCCAUGGAACACUAGUUCGUCGCAAAGGUCGCAACGGUCGCAACGUUUACAAAGUUCACCACUUUUACCAACCUUUACCAUUACCAUUAGGUUACGCACACAGGAGCAGUGUGUUAGUAGCCGUUUAACAUGCGUUAACAAAAGCAGGACAAAAAUUAUUUUAGACUAUUCACUUAAUAAGUGAAGUGGAAGUACCUGUAUUAGAGCACAAGGGGAUCUGUAAACUGAUGAGAUUGCCUGUGCUGUCUCCAUGGAAACCCGAUUAAACUGACACAACUGCUGCUGCCAGAGUCUGAGGAGGCCAUUACCAUUCUUA
Molecule: long non-coding RNA, 633 nt
Organism: Cryptotermes secundus
Lineage: Eukaryota; Metazoa; Arthropoda; Insecta; Blattodea; Kalotermitidae
Exons: 2
Source: RefSeq, a predicted model, not a curated record